CCCUGCGCCAGUUAGCAGUUUGCGGAAUGAGGAAGUUGUGUGGAAAAGUGGACAGAAGGGAACGGCAGUGUGGAGGCCACCUUCUCCAUGGCCAGGUUCCGGAUGCUGGGGGUGAGAGGGCCUCGGCAGGUCGGACAGCAGCUCAGCUUUUGGCGGCACGGGUUGCAGACCAGGUGACCCGCCUGGCACUGCAGGAUGGGCGGCAGGACAUAGUCGAAGCAUACCGGGCACUCGAACAGCGCCGUGAGCUCCGGGGACUGCCCAGGCAGACCGGCCGAGGCUAGGGACACAGCGGUGGAAGGGGUAGCAGACCCCGACCCGACCACGGAGCACACGCCGGCGGCUGCUGCCGCAGCCGCGGCCGCCGCAGCGGCAGCGGCACCUCCCGAUCCACCGUGCUUUCCUCCGCCAGCUUUACCGGCCCCGAGUCCUCCACCUCCGGCUCCAGCUGAGGACGGACGGCUCAUGGCUUCCAGCUGCGGUCCGUUUCCUGUGAACUGCCUAGCGAGCGGUAACGUCAUCUACUGUUUACUACAGGACGUCGCUCCAGGCCCCCGGAGACACAACAUGGCGGCUGCCAAUUUGUAUCGCCUGCCGGCCGCUAUCAUUGGGCGCAGCACGAUGACUGACAGGGCGCUCAGCCAAUCAGAGAGUUGAGUCGUGUCAUUAUGUAAUGUUUGGCAGCAAAGUGAAAGAGAGGUAAAAAAUAAAAUAAAAAAACGACGUUCGGUCAGCAGCACGAGAAGAAGACAGCAACGCUUCAGUAAUUAUGAAUGAAUAUUUAUACUUUUGCAAAUAUUCAGAAUUUUGCACACACAAAAACAACCGUCUCAAAUACCGGUAGUGUUACUGCUUUUGGCACAAUCUACACACCAUGUACUACACAGAAUAUGGAGAGUAUAAAGUAACACUCUGAGGUACUUUUACCUCUCUUUAAUUUUGCAUUUUGUGCUACUUUAUGCUUACACUUCACUUUAUUACAGAGGGAAUUUUUCACUUUUUAUUUCAUCAAGUUUUUUUUUGGUUUAACCAGUUACUAUGUAGAUUCUGAUUUUGUAUACAGAGCUUACAAGCAACUGUUCACAUGACGCAUCCUAAUGGGUGAAAACUAUAACAUGAAAUAGCUGCAUAUACAUAGAUAAUAAUCCAAUAUGUACCUACAGUAGCACACUGACAGGGAACAUCCUGCAUAAUGGUACCCUUACUUACUACGAGAAAAUGUAGUAUAUCUCUGGCGCCCCUCAGUGGAGAUCCCGGUGUAAUUGCACUCUGCUCUCCUCCUCGUAUCCACUUUGUGUCUGUGUACUACCUUCAGUCAUCAACCUCUCUAAGUGUGUGUAACUUUAACUCACGUUUUUCUCAAUUGUCAUUAAUUCUGUCCUCCCUACAACCUGAUCACUCUAAUGCUUCUGGUUCUUCAGUUCCAGGGAGAUAUUAAUGAGUACAUAAAAUAUGAAAGGGCUCCUAAACGAGUUAGGCACACCAUUCAGACAGAAAACACAAAAAACAAAGAAAAUAAACAUGAAAUGUUUUUUUUUCUAUUCAAGUUCCUGACAUAAGUGUUGCACUCACUACAGUAAAAACUGACCUCAUGAGGGAGGAAUGAUUUCAGUCCGAGUCUGAGAACAUUUGGGCUGCAGGCUGCGUUCAUUUCAAGGUCAGCCAGAUUCAAAUACAGUCUGUUAGUCUGUAGUCCUUCCUGAGCUGCAUUACCUUUAUUAGAGAGCUGUAAAUGUUAGGACAGAAUGUGAGUUUGAUAAAGCUAAAUCUGUAUUUCAUAAUCAUUUCAAAAUGUGCUUUUAGUUUGGAACUAUAUUUGUCUGGUAGUUGAGUUUCAAGCUCAAACUGAGGUGGCAGGUUCAGUCCUUCAGGUUCAAAGUUUUAAAAUCUGAAAAACGGCAACAAAAUCAGAGACUAACCAAAGACAUUGUGACAUGACAUGUCGUGAACACUCCAACACAUUUUAGGUCUCUGUGCAGAUGUUUGGUCCAUAGUGGCUGCCGAAAUGAAUCCCACCAAGGAGGAAAACCAGCCAGAUUCAGUGUUUUCAGAUGGUCUUGGUCUGGUUCUGUAGUCCACACCAGAGUCAAACUGGCAGCUUUCACAUCAGCCUAAACGAACUGAACCUAACUGGCACACAGAUGAGGUGUGAGAGCGAGCUUACAUGCAUCUGCUCCCAGUAUCAGUGUGUACUGUUAAAGUUUGGCUCCAGAGCUGGUUUCUGUUGGCUGGUUCAGUCCAGCCUUGGCCCCCAGCCUGCCUGAGAGGCUCUUACUUUUAUUUCCAGGAGGACUUAAAGAAUUGGCUGACAGCAGCGCCCCAGCUCAAUUAACCUUCAGAUGCCUUCAAGUGCACUCAACAAAGGCUGUUAGAAAAGGGGAAAAAGAUGAAUAAAGCCAGCGGGGGAGUCUGAAGAGCUGUGCUGAUGUGUUUAAGCGGAUCACAUCAGUCCAGUUCUCAGAUCUUUGCACUGACUUCCUGUUUGUCAAAAAUAGACUUUUAAAAUACUCCUGUUGGCUUUUGUCUGAUCUGCUGCUCUGGCAUGAUCUGCCCAGAUGGUCUGGGAUCAGGUCUGCUCACUGUCCGCAGAGUCCAAACUAAACCUGCAGAAGCAACGUGAAACAAACUACCAGAAAACUGCACAUCUGCUCCAGCUCUCAGUUAUUUUAAAUUAAUUAAAACCUUUCUGUUUACUGCUGUCUGUAUCUCACUGUACUGUAACUUUUCCUUCUUUUUAUUCAAUUCUAUCUUCUUUUUAUUUGUAUUUAUUAUUUUUUAAUGCUAUUCUUACAUCUCUUUAUAUUAUCUUGUGUUUCUUAAUGCCUUUUUAUUUAUCAUUUACUUUAUUUUUCUAUUAUUGCUGCAUUGUGAACGCUCAACCAUCUGGAAACCAACAAAAACAGCCUUCUUUUUGUUGCCUUUUUUGUCUGUUUUAUUUAAACAAAAAUGGAUCCUUGUGUUAUAUUCAGACUUUAAAGGUGAACCUUAGGUCAAAUUUAUUUUCUUAUUAACACUAUAAUCCUAUUCUGUCAUGUGUUUUUUGUGCUUAUAAUUAAACCUGAAAUCAACGUUUAAAGCAAGCCAGUUUUCCUUUCUGUUUUUUUUCACAAACUUGAAGUUCUGUAGUUUAGAAAAUCGUCAUCUCAUCAUUGAAAUCGUACACUCACAUUUAUAUUUGUAAAAAAAAUGUAUUUAAAUUCCAUUAAAAGAAAAUAAAGAGGCUUGUGUUUUGGUUUUGA
Molecule: long non-coding RNA, 3239 nt
Organism: Chelmon rostratus (copperband butterflyfish)
Lineage: Eukaryota; Metazoa; Chordata; Actinopteri; Chaetodontiformes; Chaetodontidae
Exons: 2
Source: RefSeq, a predicted model, not a curated record